Molecule: long non-coding RNA, 452 nt
Filed under: Homo sapiens (human)
Lineage: Eukaryota; Metazoa; Chordata; Mammalia; Primates; Hominidae
Description: HSALNT0335717
Source: RNAcentral
ACGCAGAGAGCUAUCUAGCCCUUCCCAUCAUGUGAGGACAUAGCAAGAAGUCACCAUCUAUGAGGAGGAAGAUCUUCACCAGACCCAAAUUUGCUGGCACCUUGACCUUGGGCUUCCCAGCCUUCAGAACUGUACUCUCAGAAACCACCUCUGGCCUGAAAAGGGGCCGACUGAAACAUAUACCUAUUUGAAGAUCCCUGGCACACAGAUACAGCAGAAGAAGCCCAAAUGUGUUAUCAAACCAUUGAGAGAAACAGAACUUUCCUCAAAGCCAAGAAACAGCUUUCAAAAGGAAGUUUCCCAAAAACUCUUCUAAAAGUACCAGCAUAUCUUCAAACCAAAUGAGGAAAUUGCAGGCCACAGAUACAAGUAACCAGCUUAACCACUGGAUUGUGCUCUCUCUUUCCUUCUGUAAUCUACUUUGAACAAAUAAUACAAACGUGAAUAAUCCA